UUGUGGAAUUCUGUACAUAAACUUUUUGUAUUGUAAUACGUGUUUUCCCUGUAAUAUUCAGAUUUAUAGUGGUAUUGCUAUAGAAGUUUAUAAGACAUUAUUUUUUCUUGUUAGAACCAACAAGCUUUCUUAUUUGAUACGGUAAUAAUUAGCAUGGCGUUUUUUGUCUUUAAAAUACCAAUAGUAUUGAGGUGAGCGUUUAUGUGUACCGAUUUAUUCUGCAAUGUAUGAGUUUUAUGUGUAGCUUUGUGUUUAUAUUCCAUUUGUUGAAAUAAACUAUGCUAUGGCAGUGAGUAAACACUCGAUCACAAUAUAAACGUGUCGUUCCCUAGUAAGUUUUGUC
RNAcentral lists this long non-coding RNA (343 nucleotides) under Mytilus galloprovincialis (Mediterranean mussel). The record is from RNAcentral. Lineage: Eukaryota; Metazoa; Mollusca; Bivalvia; Mytilida; Mytilidae.